GUGCAUGAAGUAGGAUACUAAAGCUGAUAAUUCCCUGUCACAAUAUCGUACAUCUUUGAAAACCCAGAGCAGAAAACAGUCUUCUACCAGUGGGCCACAAGUGGGAGAACCAGCCCACUCUAGGUGCAUUGACUGCGCCUGCAUCUUGAAGCAAGGCCUCUUCCUCAAUCCCAUCUGAAUCCGCCUGAUCAUCUUUCCUCUGAUUUUCACUUGUACUACUUUCUUCUGUAGGAGUUCCAACCUCUGCAAUUUCCCCUGGCUUCUUGUCAAA
RNAcentral lists this unclassified non-coding RNA (271 nucleotides) under Hevea brasiliensis (rubber tree). Lineage: Eukaryota; Viridiplantae; Streptophyta; Magnoliopsida; Malpighiales; Euphorbiaceae. The record is from RNAcentral.